This 263-nucleotide ribosomal RNA is filed under the name soil bacterium 10V-03. Its description in RNAcentral is "partial 16S ribosomal RNA". It matches the Rfam family "Bacterial small subunit ribosomal RNA", at positions 210 to 485 of the family's 1533-position model. The record is from RNAcentral.
UUUUUGUGGUUUUGGAUGGACUCGCGGCCUAUCAGCUUGUUGGUGAGGUAAUGGCUCACCAAGGCGACGACGGGUAGCCGGCCUGAGAGGGUGACCGGCCACACUGGGACUGAGACACGGCCCAGACUCCUACGGGAGGCAGCAGUGGGGAAUAUUGCACAAUGGGCGCAAGCCUGAUGCAGCGACGCCGCGUGAGGGAUGACGGCCUUCGGGUUGUAAACCUCUUUCAGUAGGGAAGAAGCGAAAGUGACGGUACCUGCAGA